CGUAGGGCGCAAGCGUUGUCCGGAAUUAUUGGGCGUAAAGAGCUCGUAGGCGGUUUGUCGCGUCUGCUGUGAAAACCUAAGGCUCAACCUUGGGCUUGCAGUGGGUACGGGCAGACUAGAGUGCGGUAGGGGUGACUGGAAUUCCUGGUGUAGCGGUGGAAUGCGCAGAUAUCAGGAGGAACACCGAUGGCGAAGGCAGGUCACUGGGCCGCAACUGACGCUGAGGAGCGAAAGCAUGGGGAGCGAACAGGAUUAGAUACCCUGGUAGUCCAUGCCGUAAACGUUGGGCACUAGGUGUGGGGCUCAUUCCACGAGUUCCGUGCCGCAGCAAACGCAUUAAGUGCCCCGCCUGGGGAGUACGGCCGCAAGGCUA
Molecule: ribosomal RNA, 373 nt
Filed under: uncultured organism
Description: bacterial SSU rRNA
Rfam family: Bacterial small subunit ribosomal RNA
Source: RNAcentral